This 465-nucleotide ribosomal RNA is filed under the name uncultured bacterium. RNAcentral's name for it is "partial 16S ribosomal RNA". It matches the Rfam family "Bacterial small subunit ribosomal RNA", at positions 28 to 507 of the family's 1533-position model. The record is from RNAcentral.
GACGAACGCUGGCGGCGUGCUUAACACAUGCAAGUCGUACGGUAAGGCCCUUUCGGGGGUACACGAGUGGCGAACGGGUGAGUAACACGUGAGUAACCUGCCCACAACUUUGGGAUAACGCUAGGAAACUGGUGCUAAUACUGGAUAUGUGCUCCUGCUGCAUGGUGGGGGUUGGAAAGCUCCGGCGGUUGUGGAUGGACUCGCGGCCUAUCAGCUUGUUGGUGGGGUAGUGGCCUACCAAGGCGGCGACGGGUAGCCGGCCUGAGAGGGUGACCGGCCACAGUGGGACUGAGAUACGGCCCAGACUCCUACGGGAGGGAGCGGUGGGGAAUAUUGCACAAUGGGCGCAAGCCUGAUGCAGCAACGCCGCGGGCGGGAUGACGGCCUUCGGGUUGUAAACCGCUUUCAGCAGGGACGAAGCUUUUUGUGACGGUACCUGCAGAAGAAGCACCGGCUAACUACGUG